AACGAACGCUGGCGGCAUGCCUAACACAUGCAAGUCGAACGAUCCCUUCGGGGAUAGUGGCGCACGGGUGCGUAACGCGUGGGAACCUGCCCUUAGGUUCGGAAUAACUCAGAGAAAUUUGAGCUAAUACCGGAUAAUGUCUUCGGACCAAAGAUUUAUCGCCUUUGGAUGGGCCCGCGUUGGAUUAGCUAGUUGGUGGGGUAAAGGCCUACCAAGGCGACGAUCCAUAGCUGGUCUGAGAGGAUGAUCAGCCACACUGGGACUGAGACACGGCCCAGACUCCUACGGGAGGCAGCAGUGGGGAAUAUUGGACAAUGGGCGAAAGCCUGAUCCAGCAAUGCCGCGUGAGUGAUGAAGGCCUUAGGGUUGUAAAGCUCUUUUACCCGGGAUGAUAAUGACAGUACCGGGAGAAUAAGCCCCGGCUAACUCCGUGC
This 434-nucleotide ribosomal RNA is filed under the name uncultured bacterium. RNAcentral describes it as "partial 16S ribosomal RNA". It matches the Rfam family "Bacterial small subunit ribosomal RNA", at positions 29 to 508 of the family's 1533-position model. The record is from RNAcentral.